AUUGGGUAGGCUAUGAGUCUCACAUUUUUAGUGGGUAAUUUGUGUCUUAAAUAUUUCAUGGAUGCUAUAUCAACUUGGAUAUCUGGUGCCCUGA
Manihot esculenta (cassava) is the source of this 94-nucleotide small nucleolar RNA. Lineage: Eukaryota; Viridiplantae; Streptophyta; Magnoliopsida; Malpighiales; Euphorbiaceae. The record is from RefSeq and is a predicted model, not a curated record.